RNAcentral lists this ribosomal RNA (508 nucleotides) under uncultured Sclerocystis. RNAcentral describes it as "SSU rRNA". It matches the Rfam family "Eukaryotic small subunit ribosomal RNA", at positions 569 to 1078 of the family's 1831-position model. Lineage: Eukaryota; Fungi; Glomeromycota; Glomeromycetes; Glomerales; Glomeraceae. The record is from RNAcentral.
AGCAGCCGCGGUAAUUCCAGCUCCAAUAGCGUAUAUUAAAGUUGUUGCAGUUAAAGAGCUCGUAGUUGAAUUUCGGGGUCAGUGGGUCGGUCGUGCCACUGGUAUGUACUGGCCCUACUGAUUCCUCCUUCUUGAAGAACUGUAAUGCCAUUAAUUUGGUGUUGCAGGGAAACAGGACUGUUACUUUGAAAAAAUUAGAGUGUUUAAAGCAGGCAAUCGCUUGAAUACAUUAGCAUGGAAUAAUGAAAUAGGACGAUCGAUCCUAUUUUGUUGGUUUCUAGGAUUGACGUAAUGAUUAAUAGGGAUAGUUGGGGGCAUUAGUAUUCAAUUGUCAGAGGUGAAAUUCUUGGAUUUAUUGAAGACUAACUACUGCGAAAGCAUUUGCCAAGGAUGUUUUCAUUAAUCAAGAACGAAAGUUAGGGGAUCGAAGACGAUCAGAUACCGUCGUAGUCUUAACCAUAAACUAUGCCGACUAGGGAUCGGAUGAUGUUAAUUUUUUAAUGACUCA